RNAcentral lists this ribosomal RNA (811 nucleotides) under uncultured bacterium. RNAcentral describes it as "bacterial SSU rRNA". It matches the Rfam family "Bacterial small subunit ribosomal RNA", at positions 29 to 835 of the family's 1533-position model. The record is from RNAcentral.
UUGAACGCUGGCGGAAUGCUUUACACAUGCAAGUCGAACGGCAGCACGGACUUCGGUCUGGUGGCGAGUGGCGAACGGGUGAGUAAUAUAUCGGAACGUAUCCAAUAAUGGGGGAUAACUAAUCGAAAGGUUGGCUAAUACCGCAUACGCCCUACGGGGGAAAGCUAGGGACCUUCGGGCCUGGCGUUAAUGGAGCGGCUGAUAUCUGAUUAGCUAGUAGGUGAGGUAAAAGCUCACCUAGGCGACGAUCAGUAGCUGGUCUGAGAGGACGACCAGCCACACUGGAACUGAGACACGGUCCAGACUCCUACGGGAGGCAGCAGUGGGGAAUUUUGGACAAUGGGCGAAAGCCUGAUCCAGCCAUUCCGCGUGAGUGAAGAAGGCCUUCGGGUUGUAAAGCUCUUUCGCAAGGGAAGAAAACUUAGCCACUAACAUUGGCUGAGGUUGACGGUACCUUGAUAAGAAGCACCGGCUAACUACGUGCCAGCAGCCGCGGUAAUACGUAGGGUGCGAGCGUUAAUCGGAAUUACUGGGCGUAAAGCGUGCGCAGGCUGUUUUGUAAGUCAGAUGUGAAAUCCCCGAGCUCAACUUGGGAACUGCGUUUGAAACUACAAGACUAGAAUAUGUCAGAGGGGGGUAGAAUUCCACGUGUAGCAGUGAAAUGCGUAGAGAUGUGGAGGAAUAUCAAUGGCGAAGGCAGCCCCCUGGGAUAAUAUUGACGCUCAUGCACGAAAGCGUGGGGAGCAAACAGGAUUAGAUACCCUGGUAGUCCACGCCCUAAACGAUGUCUACUAGUUGUUGGUGGAGUAAA